This 460-nucleotide ribosomal RNA is filed under the name uncultured bacterium. Its description in RNAcentral is "partial 16S ribosomal RNA". It matches the Rfam family "Bacterial small subunit ribosomal RNA", at positions 338 to 795 of the family's 1533-position model. The record is from RNAcentral.
CCUACGGGAGGCAGCAGUGAGGAAUAUUGGUCAAUGGACGAGAGUCUGAACCAGCCAAGUAGCGUGAAGGAUGACUGCCCUAUGGGUUGUAAACUUCUUUUAUAUGGGAAUAAAAUGUUCCACGUGUGGGAUUUUGUAUGUACCAUAUGAAUAAGGAUCGGCUAACUCCGUGCCAGCAGCCGCGGUAAUACGGAGGAUCCGAGCGUUAUCCGGAUUUAUUGGGUUUAAAGGGAGCGUAGGUGGAUUGUUAAGUCAGUUGUGAAAGUUUGCGGCUCAACCGUAAAAUUGCAGUUGAUACUGGCAGUCUUGAGUACAGUAGAGGUGGGCGGAAUUCGUGGUGUAGCGGUGAAAUGCUUAGAUAUCACGAAGAACCCCGAUUGCGAAGGCAGUUCACUGGACUGCAACUGACACUGAGGCUCGAAAGUGUGGGUAUCAAACAGGAUUAGAUACCCUUGUAGUC